Molecule: non-coding RNA, 80 nt
Organism: Paramarasmius palmivorus
Lineage: Eukaryota; Fungi; Basidiomycota; Agaricomycetes; Agaricales; Marasmiaceae
Source: the annotation of a GenBank genome assembly
GGUGCUAUAGUGUAGUGGGAUUCUGAUGGCCCAAUACCCGCAAUCUUCCCGAAACCCAGGUUCGAAUCCUGGUAGCACCU